GCUUUGCUGCCGGCUGAGCUUUUGUCUUCGGAGGGGCGUUUGGGUUGUCGUCUCGCGCUGCUGGUUGGCCGACUUUCCUUCCGACUCCGCACUACCAGAUAUUACAGCGAGCGGGCCACUCACGGCCCUUCCUCCUGGAGGAUCCAGAGGCCUUCCAGAAGCAGAAGGCAGCUCUACUGCUCUACAAAGGAGUGGGAUCCUUUGAGCCAUGAAGCAUAUGCUGAACCUCUAUCUCUUAGGUGUGGUGCUGACCCUGCUCUCCAUCUUCGUUAGACUGAUGGAGUCCCUGGGGGGCUUACUGGAGAGCCCAUCUCCUGGGAGCUCCUGGACCACCAGAGGUCAACUAGCCAACACAGAGUCCCCAGGGGCCUUCCAGACCAUCCAUCCGGAGGGGUGUGAUAAGACCUCCCUCCACCGGCUGUAACCUUGGAACACUGGCCUAAAUACGUCCAGCUGUACCAGUUCCUGGGUAGGCAAGCUCAGCAUCAGUGUUAUCAGAGAACUAACUGUCACUAGGCCCUUGAAGGGCCUCUCCACCUGCAUACUCCUUGCUCUGGAAAAAGCCUGUUUAAUACACAGAUAUGAGUGGGUCGCCUGUGGCUGUGGAAUGGAGUGAUCUCACUCUUCUCCCCAGUCCACCAUAUGCUUUGCUGUCCUUGGCAGCAUGGCUCUGUCUUCUCUUAGAUGGGGACUUGUGCUGCAACUUCCGCUGUUGGGAGAUCGUGUUAUUUUCAACCCUACUUUCUAAGCAUCUGCCAAGAGUUCCUUUGUGCUUGGGUGUCUUAUGGUCAGUUUAUUUGGUGUUAAGUUUCUCUUCCAUGAGAGCUCCUCUGUGUGCGGAUAACAGUUGAAGAGGUUUGUGGGUUGGCUAUAGGAAGGGGAAGGUGGAGUAUUCUAUGUCCCAUUCUCAUUGUUUUACAUUUUUAAGUCACUCCUCCAACAUAGCAUGUAUGUGUGUGUGUAUUGGUCUGAAGAGGGCAGUGGGAUGACAGCAUCUGCUCAGGACAUGGGCAUUUUGGCCACCGUGUGGCUUAAAUAAAUUUUUCUAAUGAAAUAAAGUUGAAUGUAUAUUUCU
RNAcentral lists this long non-coding RNA (1075 nucleotides) under Balaenoptera musculus (blue whale). RNAcentral describes it as "lncRNA (ENSBMSG00010005472.1)". Lineage: Eukaryota; Metazoa; Chordata; Mammalia; Artiodactyla; Balaenopteridae. The record is from RNAcentral.